UCGACGGGUAGCCGGCCUGAGAGGGUGACCGGCCACACUGGGACUGAGACACGGCCCAGACUCCUACGGGAGGCAGCAGUGGGGAAUAUUGCACAAUGGGCGAAAGCCUGAUGCAGCAACGCCGCGUGAGGGAUGACGGCCUUCGGGUUGUAAACCUCUUUUAGCAGGGAAGAAGCGAAAGUGACGGUACCUGCAGAAAAAGCGCCGGCUAACUACGUGCCAGCAGCCGCGGUAAUACGUAGGGCGCAAGCGUUAUCCGGAAUUAUUGGGCGUAAAGAGCUCGUAGGCGGUUUGUCGCGUCUGCUGUGAAAUCCCGAGGCUCAACCUCGGGCCUGCAGUGGGUACGGGCAGACUAGAGUGCGGUAGGGGAGAUUGGAAUUCCUGGUGUAGCGGUGGAAUGCGCAGAUAUCAGGAGGAACACCGAUGGCGAAGGCAGAUCUCUGGGCCGUAACUGACGCUGAGGAGCGAAAGGGUGGGGAGCAAACAGGCUUAGAUACCCUGGUAGUCCACCCCGUAAACGUUGGGAACUAGUUGUGGGGUCCAUUCCACGGAUUCCGUGACGCAGCUAACGCAUUAAGUUCCCCGCCUGGGGAGUACGGCCGCAAGGCUAAAACUCAAAGGAAUUGACGGGGACCCGCACAAGCGGCGGAGCAUGCGGAUUAAUUCGAUGCAACGCGAAGAACCUUACCAAGGCUUGACA
Molecule: ribosomal RNA, 700 nt
Filed under: Microbacterium ginsengiterrae
Lineage: Bacteria; Bacillati; Actinomycetota; Actinomycetes; Micrococcales; Microbacteriaceae
Description: bacterial SSU rRNA
Rfam family: Bacterial small subunit ribosomal RNA
Source: RNAcentral